RNAcentral lists this ribosomal RNA (592 nucleotides) under Utinomiella dimorpha. RNAcentral describes it as "partial 16S ribosomal RNA". It matches the Rfam family "Bacterial large subunit ribosomal RNA", at positions 1830 to 2666 of the family's 2925-position model. Lineage: Eukaryota; Metazoa; Arthropoda; Malacostraca; Decapoda; Cryptochiridae. The record is from RNAcentral.
CAUGUCUGUUUGGAGAUAUAAAUAGUCCGAUCUGCCCACUGAUAAUAUUAUUAAAGGGCCGCAGUAUCUUAACUGUGCAAAGGUAGCAUAAUCGUUAGUUCUUUAAUUGAGAUCUUGUAUGAAUGAUUAGACAAAAAAGCAACUGUCUUUGUAGUAGGAAUUGAAUUUAACCUUUAAGUGAAAAGGCUUAAAUAAUUUAAAGUGACGAUAAGACCCUGUGAAGCUUAAUGUUAAUAGGUGUUUAAAAUGAUAUCUAUAAUUAAAAUUUUAAUAGCUGAAACCAUUUUAUUGGGGUGAUAAAAGUAAAAUUUAUAGUAACUGCUUAGAUUUAAAUCAAAUAUAAGUGAAUAAAAUUUAAAUGAUCCAAUAUAAAGAGUAAAAGAUUAAGUUACUUCAGGGAUAACAGCGUUAUUCUUUUAGAGAGUUCAUAUCGAAAAAAGAGAUUGCGACCUCGAUGUUGAAUUAAAAUACCUAUAUAAUUGUAGUAGUUAUAGUAGGAGGUCUGUUCGACCUUUAAAUUUUUACGUGAUUUGAGUUCAGACCGGUUUAAGCCAGGUCGGUUUCUAUCUUUUAAUUAAAAUAAAUUACUUUA